UUUUAAAAGCUUGCUUUUAAAAGGUUAGCGGCGGACGGGUGAGUAACACGUGGGCAACCUGCCUGUAAGAUCGGGAUAACGCCGGGAAACCGGGGCUAAUACCGGAUAGUUUUUUCCUCCGCAUGGAGGAAAAAGGAAAGACGGCUUUUGCUGUCACUUACAGAUGGGCCCGCGGCGCAUUAGCUAGUUGGUGGGGUAACGGCUCACCAAGGCAACGAUGCGUAGCCCGACCUGAGAGGGUGAUCGGCCACAUUGGGACUGAGACACGGCCCAAACUCCUACGGGAGGCAGCAGUAGGGAAUCUUCCGCAAUGGACGAAAGUCUGACGGAGCAACGCCGCGUGAGUGAAGAAGGCCUUCGGGUCGUAAAACUCUGUUGCCGGGGAAGAACAAGUGCCGUUCGAACAGGGCGGCGCCUUGACGGUACCCGGCCAGAAAGCCACGGCUAACUACGUGCCAGCAGCCGCGGUAAUACGUAGGUGGCAAGCGUUGUCCGGAAUUAUUGGGGCGUAAAGCGCGCGCAGGCGGCUUCUUAAGUCUGAUGUGAAAUCUUGCGGCUCAACCGCAAGCGGUCAUUGGAAACUGGGGAGGCUUGAGUGCAGAAGAGGAGAGUGGAAUUCCACGUGUAGCGGUGAAAUGCGUAGAGAUGGGGGAGGAAACACCAGUGGGCGAAGGCGGCUCUCUGGUCUGUAACUGACGCUGAGGCGCGAAAGCGUGGGGAGCAAACAGGAUUAGAUACCCUGGUAGUCCACGCCGUAACGAUGAGUGCUAAGUGUUAGAGGGUUUCCGCCCUUUAGUGCUGCAGC
This 805-nucleotide ribosomal RNA is filed under the name Heyndrickxia coagulans. RNAcentral describes it as "bacterial SSU rRNA". It matches the Rfam family "Bacterial small subunit ribosomal RNA", at positions 70 to 852 of the family's 1533-position model. Lineage: Bacteria; Bacillati; Bacillota; Bacilli; Caryophanales; Bacillaceae. The record is from RNAcentral.